RNAcentral lists this long non-coding RNA (327 nucleotides) under Lupinus angustifolius (narrow-leaved blue lupine). RNAcentral's name for it is "long non-coding RNA (LANG_LNC003251)". Lineage: Eukaryota; Viridiplantae; Streptophyta; Magnoliopsida; Fabales; Fabaceae. The record is from RNAcentral.
UCGUCACUGGAAAGGGAACCGAAGAGGAGUCAACACGACUUAGUGGCCGUGUUACAUGGGGGAGAUACCUUGUUCGCCGCUUUCCGUCACUGCACCGCCCCUCUCAACUUCCGUUGCUGCCAUCGAAGGUGAGGAGGAGGAGGAGAAGAUUCGGGAUUCAAAUCCCUUGGCCAUCGAAGGUGCGGAAGAGGAGAGGAUUUGGGGGUUUGUCCCUCUUCUUCUAAGAUUAGGGAUUCUAAUCCCUUGGCCACGUAAAAAAUGAGAAAGAGAGUGUGAGAUUUAGGGAUUUUCUUUCCCUUUACCCUUGUCCAUUACCGUAGGAUGAAG